This 411-nucleotide ribosomal RNA is filed under the name uncultured Corynebacterium sp. RNAcentral describes it as "bacterial SSU rRNA". It matches the Rfam family "Bacterial small subunit ribosomal RNA", at positions 77 to 504 of the family's 1533-position model. The record is from RNAcentral. Lineage: Bacteria; Bacillati; Actinomycetota; Actinomycetes; Mycobacteriales; Corynebacteriaceae.
UCUUCGGAGGUACUCGAGUGGCGAACGGGUGAGUAACACGUGGGUGAUCUGCCCUGCACUCUGGGAUAAGCCUGGGAAACUGGGUCUAAUACCGGAUAGGACCAUGCUUUAGUGUGUGUGGUGGAAAGUUUUUUCGGUGUAGGAUGAGCCCGCGGCCUAUCAGCUUGUUGGUGGGGUAAUGGCCUACCAAGGCGGCGACGGGUAGCCGGACUGAGAGGUUGGUCGGCCACAUUGGGACUGAGAUACGGCCCAGACUCCUACGGGAGGCAGCAGUGGGGAAUAUUGCACAAUGGGCGCAAGCCUGAUGCAGCGACGCCGCGUGGGGGAUGACGGCCUUCGGGUUGUAAACUCCUUUCGCCAGGGACGAAGCGUUUUGUGACGGUACCUGGAGAAGAAGCACCGGCUAACUAC